UUUAUUUUGGACCACAUAUUUAUUUUUACAUUAUCUUUAUUUUUUACUUAAAAAUAAUGACCACAUAUUUUCCUUACAUGCACUUAUUCUACACUAUGCAUGAGAGGGGAACCAUAUCAGAUUUUUAAGGCAAAAAACCCUAGCUAUCUCUCACUUCUGAUCUCUCUAAACUUAGAGAGAUCACCCGCAUUCUCUAAAAUUGGAGACUCUUAUUUCUCUCUAUCUCACGCCUGUCAACCCCCCCUCCCUUUCUCGCCGGCCAACCGUCGGAUUUGACUACCGGUGGGUCUGGUCGGCCACCACUGCUACCACCUCACCUCCCUGCUCACAUCUCUCUCACUUCUCUCUCUGUUGCGACGAACUCACUGAAAAUCGGUGAACUUGCACAUGGCAUUUCAGAUCUAACAAGAUCUGGCUAUAAUUGAUGUUAAAUCUGGCGACCUCUAUGAAACUAACACCGCUUGACCGAAGAACAUUUUUUGAUAAUCUUUUGAAUGUUGAGGCGUCGUUCCGAUACUUUUGCCGUUGAAGCGGCGUCAUUGACUCUAGAACUCUCUAGAUCUGGCCAUUUGUCCAUUUUAUGCUAGUUGCCUGAAUUUUAGUUACCAGAACCUUGUUUUCAGUGACCCUCACAUUUUUCGGCGAGCUUCACCAGCGGACGACGCCAUUGUUUCUUUUGGUACUAUUCGGGUGUUUGUUUUCCCUAUUGUUAUGGUCGAUGGCUCCUGUCUCGGUAUUAUUGGACUUCGUCCCUAUGAUGUUGGUUUUUAUGUUGGUUGGACUCUUGAUUUUUUUCGGCAAUCUCUUUGGUCGCUAUUUUGUGUUAUUGUUUAUGUUCAUGGAUGUUAAUGUUUUAAUUCUUUUGGUUGACUUAUCUUUAUGGUGAUGGAUGUUGUCGGCUUUAACUCCACUGUGGCUCCCUCUACUAGCCGAAAAUUCGUUGAUGAUUUUAAGACUAUUUGCCUCUUUAAUAAUAGUAUCUUUGUUUAGGCUCAGUUAUUUCUUGUCCACGUUGUCGAUGCUGUUGUGCGGAUGCUUUAACAGUAUUCAUGUCGUGGAUUUUGUUGUGAUAUGCUCGAUGGGAAUACUUUUUAGAGGUACGAUGCCCCGAAUGACUCUCAGAUUUGGCCUGAAAUAACGAGCCGAUGGUGAUAAACAUCGAAAAGGAAAAAGAUGAGAAUUUGACGAACCAAUAGCCCUUCGAAAAUACGACACAAUUAGCUAUCUAGUCGCAACCAAGGCGGUUAUCGUUAUCAUGUCUAGUCGGAUAUUACAUAUAUCUGAGCCUCCUAUAUUAUUUUUCUAAACUAUUUUCCAAUAAAUAAACAAUUUUCCAAAAGCAUUUUCAAACUAUUUUCAAAAACAAUCUUUCAAAAAUAUUUUCAAAUAAAAUCAUUUCAAAAUAAAUUAGUUUAUUAUUUACUUUAUAUUUUACUAAUAAUUUCCCUUCUUUUGUCUUGCGAGGUACUAUCACACGAGGUUGCUUUCGGAAGAUGAUACCCGAAGACGAAAAGACAAAUCCCCGUCAAGCCUCCCAUUUCGUAACUUCCCUUCUUAGAUGUACAAAACGCAAGUACAGUGAAACCGUAGAUAGAUAUCAUAUUUGCUAGUUUACUUGAUGUUUACAUAUUUGCCAACACUUCGGUUGUGUUGCAUCUAGUUAAUAAUCCGGUCAACUUAAGAUAUUAUGUGCUAGAUAAUUUUGCGAAACUUGUACGCAGAUUUAGUAUGUCAGAUAUAUUUAUAACUCAUUUGAUUAAUUAGGAUUAGUGUACACCUAGUUAAUUAAUUGAGUUAAUAAAAUGAAAGGCGUGUCAUUUCCUUGUCAAAAUAGGCGACUUUACCUCUUUACAACUGCAUUAACAUGAUCUUUCUUUUAACCAAUCUCUUUGUAAAUUAUUUUUGACUAUCUUACUUCAAAUAGACAUAACUUGUAAAAGCAUAAAUGAGUCUACCAUAUGUAGGAUUAAUUCAACUAUUGCAUACACAUGGGUCUAACUUGAUGACAAUGUUCUUUAUGGGCUUUUAUGAUAUUUUGUACAGGGUUGGUAAUACUCUUAGCCUCUUUAUAUAUUUGUUAUCUACAUAUGCAUUUUAUAUUUACUUAUCUGUUCAUUCAAUUCUUUUGAACCAAGCUCUAGUUGCUUUCUUGUAUGGUCUUAAUUUUCUUUUGUUAUAAAAAUCAAUAUUCCUUUAUACUCAUACACUCUUGACAAAACGUUUUACGUUUUAUUCUUUAUAUAUUUAGUCAAGUAUUUUAGUCAAGUAUUUUAGUCAAUUACAAAACACUUACUCAUUUUUGAAGAUAAUUUUCUCCAUUAUUUAUUUAUUUUUUACAGAUUUUCUUGUAUAUUUAAUACAACUCAUUGUAGUAAUUAUUUGACUUUAAUCAUAAAAUAACUUCUUCAAGUUUAUUCAAACUCUUUUAGAACGUUUCACUUGUUGAUAUACAUUACUUAUAUUUGAUUUAAUUACUCCAUUGUUAUAUGUAAGAUUUAUGUGGAUAAUUUCCUUUUUAUACUCCCCUAUUCAUGACAACUUUCCCUACUUUAGUCGAUCAUUUCUUUAAGCUAAUUGCUAAUUGUUUUAUUUAAAAUAAUUCUUUACCAUUUUAUUAUAUGCGUUCAAUUAAGAUCAAUCUUGUACAGUCAAAUCACUCGACGUUAAUUGUAAAUUGGGAUCUCCUUUAUACCUUAUUUAGAACCCAAUUCUUUCUAUCGAACUCCGAAAACGAUUUUUUUUUGUUCAUUAAUUUACUUUGCAUAUCUUACUGUAUAUAUUUUACCACAAAUGAAAUGAUCAUACUUUGAAUAUUUAUCCACCUCAUGACAUUGCAUUGGCUACUCUUUGAUAGGAAUUCUUUUUGAAAUAACUAAUCAUUCUUUUCAACCUUCCCUCCCUUAUUUGAUCGAGUCAACCAGAACUAUAUUUUUGUGGAUAUUGAGGGAUGCCUAACAACUUUCCCUCGAGAUAACUUGAACCCUUACCUAUAAUCUCAACAGUUUCGCAGAGUACUAUAAGUUGUAAUUUAUUUCGUCUUGUGUAAAAUAGGGUGCAACAACAUGGCGACUCUACUGGGGAUACUUCAGUUUCUAAUCACAGCGGACUUGAUCAAUUACUUGAGGGAUUACAGGUUCUCUGAUACUCCAACUUCUAUUCUUUCUGUCACAUGCUUCAACUCAUAUAUUCACUGCUUCAAGUUUUAUACUCUUUGUUUCAAGCUGUAUAUUCAUUGCUUUAAGUUGCAUAUUCUUUGUUUCAAGUUGUAUAUUCUUCAUCGCAUGCUUAAAGUAGUCUAUUCUUUGUCAUCCGCUUCAAGCAGUAUAUUUUGUUAUGCGCUUCAAGCGGUAUAUUAUUGUUAUGCGCUUCAAGCAGUAUAUUCUUGUUGUGCAUUUCAAGCGGUAUAUUCUUUGUCAUAUGCUUUAAGUGGUAUAUUCUCUGUCAUCUGUAUCAGGCGGCGUAUUCUCUGUCAUGCUCAUGUUGUAUAUGCUCCCCACAUAUCUAAGUUGUAUAUUCUUGUUUAUCCUAAAAAAUGGAGAAAAAUUAAAUUUAUUAGUGGUUUUAAGGAUACGUGGAUUUAUUCAAUACAAACGGUAAAGAAUGCUAGAAUAAACAGAUAAGAGAUGUAAUAAAUUAUCAUACCUCUUGAAAAUAAAGGGGGGUGAUUCUGGACUCGAGGGCAACCUCAAUGAAUAAUCAGACCCCCCUUUAUAUAGUAAGGGAGUCCUACUCUAGGUACAAUUCUAUAAAAGGCAAAAAAUCUUCCGUUUAACUAAUCAUCGAAUUUCCGCCGGUACGUGCCAAGAUCCACGUCGCGAUACCCAGCUGGUCAGGGAUAUCACGACCUCCCGUUAAUCAUGUUCGGUUGCCCAAUAAUGCUCUCUGAAUUCUUUUAAGAUUUGGACCGAUACCAGGGUCACGGCCCCGAUAUUCUUGAGGGCGGGCAUCGUGCUCCCAGAACCUGUGUCAAUGAGUCCCUUACCUCGAUUUCGGCUCCUUGUCAUCACGUCCCUUACUCAAUUUAUUUUAUCAAAAAUCGGGCUGUUUUAUGAGUCCGAUUUCACCCGUAUACAGAUAGUCCCCUCGUUUCUCGGAGAGUAAGUUUUACGGAAACGACGAGGAAUGACAUGAGUUCUUCGAUCUCUUCUCCAACACGCUGCGACACGAAAUGAUAAAGAAACCGCAAUGUCCCAUCAGAAGCGUCAUAAUGACCCCCAACGCGUAUCAGUCGUCAGCAGGCCACUCCUGGAUGUGAAACAGCGCGAAUCCCCUAUAAAUACCUCUUCUUUCAUUCAUCUUUUACUUUUGACCAAGCUUCUACCUUCGAUCCUUCAAGAUAUCAUUGCCUUCCUUCAUUCUUCAAUAUUCUUACCUUCGUUCUUCAAAUUGCAACCUUUCUUUUACCCCUCACUUAAGCCAGUGUUCUUGAUUUUCUUAGCAAGUUCUCACCCUUCAUCUUCUCAUUCUCCUUCAUACCUUCAAACCUUUUUAUCAAGAUAAAAAAAAUGGCAAAGAUUUCCAAGACCGUUCCCCAGAAAGAUUCUCCUUCUUCUACGCAGCCGACCACUGAGGUCAAGGAGACCCCGCUCCUGAUGUGGUCAUCCUCGAGAGGUCCGCUCCGAGCGUGGCCACUGAUGAAUCGGUAGCUGAGCCCCUCUUGAAAAUGUUUGGGGGGGGGGGUGUUCGGUUAAUGAUGAAUUUAAGGUCGAAAAGCCCUCUUCGAUUCAAGGCCGAUGCGAGGUGGUGUCACUGUACAUCUGCUCCAUUACUAAGGCCGUUCUUCCUGCAGUUCAAAAAGACUGUGACUGGGUGGAUAAGGAUGUAGUGAUUCUCGGGCCCGAUGACGAUAUCACUACCCAUGUUGAAGGAUAUAUGAGUAUUUACACUUAUCUCUUUUACAUUGGGCCCGGUGUACCCGGUCAUCUUGGACUUUUGUAGGAGGUACGACGUAUGCAUCUGCCAAAUCCACCCAUCGCUGUGGAGGAUUGUGAUCCUCCUCUGAUUCUUUGUGAACAAAAUCGAUUCAUGUACUGUUCACCAUCGAUCAUCUACUCUGCUUGUACAGUCCCCGAAUCUUACGGGAGGGAAUGAUAAAGCUUGUACGCUGGGCCAGCAAAGCCCCAUUUUCAAGUAUCGACGAGGACCAGAAUUGGGGUUGGCAAGGAUGCUUUAUCCAGGUGAGGACCUCCGACCUGAUACCUGCCCAGUGGAGGCCACUCCCCGAGAAGUACAACGUAUCACGUAACUAUAACUCUUAUAAAACAUUGAUUUUAUGUUUUAUCUUCACUUUUCUAAUUGGUGUUUGUUGUGGAGCAACCCUCGCUCGAGUCCUAAAUGCCAUUACUCGGCUCAAGGAGUGGAUCAGAGGCAUUUGUUCGCAGAUUCCUUAUGCCGAAUGCUCAUGGCACGAGCUCUCGAAGAGCCGCUGGGAGGCCCAUUCUCACGGUAAGAUUCUACUCUCCGAGUAAGUAGCACUAGACUUUCUUUUUCAAUACUAUGUCCUCAUUGCUUCUCUUCUUUUUUGCAGGCUUGCCUAAGACCAUCGAGCUUAGGCCCUUGGUAAGAGGUGAGUACCUGCCCGAUGAUCGUUCUGCUUCGGGGCAGCCCAGAGCCAUAGCAGGAGAGAAGAAAAGGAGGAGGGCCCCGAGUUCCCCUAGCUCAAAGAAGAAGAAACCAAGGAGAAGGUUGGCUCGUAAGCCAAAGGAAAGGUCCAGCUCCCGAGUGCCUGAUUCAAACUCACUCUUCUGGUUCAGGGACGAGCCCGAGGAGGACUAUCUUUUGUGGCCCGCGAGCCGUCCGUUCCCGAGGAACAGAUGGCAACCAAGGGGGAAACAAUGGAGGCUAAUCCCCCUCAAGUUCAUGAGGCUGGUACAUAGGCGAGGGUCGAGACCUCUCGAAUCGUGGGCUUCGCCCAGUGUUAUAGAAAUUUUAGGAUCGCUCUCAUUCACAGAACCCAUGUUCGAUGAAGCCCGAGUGAUGAAGGAGCAAUCCAAUGAAGUGGCUCAUGGAGCGGACGAUCCCCUUUGAUGCUUCUUUGAUGGUAUAGACUCAACCGCCCUAGAAGACUUCUUCGGGUUGAUGAAUGCACAGUCUUUCGCUCAGUCUUUGAUGAGUGCACAGCCAUCUGGGCCCAGUCAGGGCAACAGGGGACCCCACCAACAUGGUCGACCUGGAGGGAGAUUCCAGCACUAGCGGAGGCCCCCAUGCCCUAAAUGUGGAAGGAUGAAUUUUGGGGUCUGCCUCAUGGACCUACAUAUAUGCUACGGGUGCGAUAUGAGGGGUCACAUUCAGAGGGACCGUUGCUCGUCCCGCCGGAUCAUGGGAAAAGGUGCGGCGCAACCAGCUAGUUCUGCAGCUACUACAUCCACAACACAUCCUUCAGCUCGAGGCACCCCAGCACCCGCAGGGCAUGGUGCAGCUAGAGGUGAUGCACAGAGUUCGGGAGGACCCAACAAAUUUUAUGCUAUGCGGAGGCGUCGAGAUUCAGAGGCUUCUCCAGAUGUUGUCACAGAUAUAUUGAUUGUCCAAUCCCAUGAUGUAUAUGCUCUUAUUGAUCUCGGUUCCACGUUGUCCUAUGUCACUCCUUAUGUCGCUAUGAAAUAUAGGAGAUGUCUUUGGGUGCUGCUAAAGAAAGUGUCUAAACACAUUCAGGGACCAUGGUUGGUCACCGAGGACUUCAGCUUCAUGAGCCGUUCUCUGUAUCUACUCCGGUUAGCGAGUCUAUUGUGGCUGCGAGGGUUUAUAGGGAUUAUGUUGUCACACUGCAUGUUUGGGACACCCUGGCCGAUCUCAUUGAAUUGGGGAUGGUUGAUUUUGAUGUAAUAAUGGGGAUAGACUGGCUUUAUUCAUAUUUUGCUAAGCUUGAUUGUCGAACCAGGACUGUUAGGUUUGAAUUUCCAAAUGAGUCGGUGAUUGAAUGGAAGGGGGAUGAUGUGGUAUCGAAGGGUAGGUUUAUUUCUUACCUUAAGGCCACGAAGAUGAUUAAAAAGGGGUGUAUCUACCAUUUGGUUCGGGUUACGGACAUCGAUGUUGAGGUACCUACACUUGAGUCCGUGCCUGUUAUGGGUGAAUUUCCGUAGGUCUUUCCGUAUGAGCUCCCUGGGAUCCCACCAAACAGGGAGAUUAAUUUUGGGAUUGAUGUGAUGUCGGGCACGCAGCCUAUAUCUAUUCCACCCUACAGAAUGUCACUAGCAUAAUUGAAUGAGCUAAAAGAACAAUUGAAGGAUUUGUUAGAGAAGGGUUUCAUCCGGUCGAGUUUGUCGCCUUAGAGUGCACCGGUCCUCUUUGUAAGAAUGAAAGAUAGGUCAUUAAGGAUGUGUAUUGACUUUCGGCAGCUCAACAAGGUCACGAUCAAGAAUAAGUACCUACUGCCAAGGAUAGAUGAUUUGUUUGACCAAUUGCAGGGUGCUAAGUAUUUCUUCAAGAUUGAUUUAAGAUCCGGGUAUCACCAACUGAAGAUCAGGGAGCAGGAUAUUCCGAGAACAGCUUCCAGGACCCGGUAUGGGCACUUUGAAUUUCUGGUAAUGUCUUUUGGGCUACCAAAUUCCCCGACAACUUUCAUGGACCUUAUGAAUCGAGUCUUAAAGCCUUUUCUUGACUCCUUUGUGAUAGUGUCCAUUGACAAUAUUCUGGUAUAUUCAUGAAGUCGAGAGGACCAUGUCGAUCAUCUCAGGGCAGUUCUACAGACUAUAUAUCUACACAAGUUGUAUACGAAAUUUUUUGAAAUGUGAAUUUUGGCUUGAAUCUGUUACAUUCUUGGGUCAUGUCGUCUCCAGAGAAGGAUAUAAGGUUGAUCCUAAAAAGAUUGCAGUUGUGAAGAAUUGUCCUAGACCUACAACUCCAAUAGAGAUUCGCAGUUUCUUGGGCUUAGCCGGUUAUUAUAGGAAAUUUAUGGAGGGGUUCUCCACUCUUGCCUCUCUGUUGACUAAAUUGACGUAGAAGGCGAUUAUGUUCCAAUAGCCAGAUGCUUGUGAAAAGAGCUUCCAAGAGUUGAAAUCAAGAUUAACUACGACACCGGUGUUGACCCUACCAGAGGGUACGUAUGGGUUUGUGGUAUAUUGUGAUGCUUCAAGAAUCGGACUUGGGUGUGUAUUAAUGCAACAUGGCAAGGUGAUAGCUUAUGCUUCUAGGCAACUCAAGAAUCAUGAAAACAACUAUCCAACACAUGACUUAGAGCUUGCGGCGGUGGUAUUUUCAUUUAAGAUUUGGCGUCAUUAUCUAUGCGGGGUCCAUGUGGAUAUAUUCACGGACCAUAAGAGCCUCCAAUACAUUUUCAAAUAGAAUGAAUUGAAUCUAAGUCAUAGAAAAUGGCUUGAGUUACUCAAGGAUUACGACAUCGAUAUUUUGUAUCAUCCGGGGAAGGCUAAUGUUGUAGUGGAUGAUCUUAGUGGGAAAUCUAUGGGCAGUUUGGCUCAAUUGGAGGCAUAUCAAAGGCCGUUGGAGAAGGAGGUUCAUCGGUUGUCUAGUUUUUGAGUUCGUCAUGCAGAUUCUAGUGAAGUAGGAGUGAUUGUGCAAAAUAGGGUUGAAUCAUCACUUGUUGUGGAAGUCAAGGAAAAGCAGUACAGUGACCCAUUGUUGGUACAGUUGAAGGAGAGGAUUCAUAAACAUAAGACCAUGGCCUUUUCUCUUGGCAUGGAUGAUGGUACACUAAGGUACCAAGGGCAACUAUGUGUUCCAAAUGUGGAUGAUCUCCGGGAAAGAAUCAUGAUCGAGGCUCACACUUCUAGGUAUUCGGUGCACUCGGGCUCUACAAAGAUGUAUCAUGAUCUUAAAGAAGUCUACUAGUGGAAUGAUAUGAAGAGGAUUGUAGCGGACUUUGUGGUGAGAUGCCCAAAUUGUCAACAAGUAAAGGCCGAACACCAACGGCCUGGUGGGUUGGCACAGAACAUAGAAAUUCCAAUGUGGAAGUGGGAAAUGAUCGAUAUGGACUUUGUGGUGGGACUACCUCGCGCGCCUCGUAAGUAUGACUCGAUUUGGGUGAUUAUGGAUUGACUCAUGAAAUCAGCUCACUUCUUACCUAUUAAGGCUACCGACACAGCAAACAGUAUGCUCAGAUGUAUAUCGAGAAAAUAGUCAGGUUGCAUGGCACUCCAGUUUCUAUUAUCUCGGAUCAAGGGGCAUAGUUCACAACUAACUUUUGGAAGAAAUUUCCGCAAGGUUUGGGUACUCAGGUGAAUUUUAGUAGAGCCUUUCACCCACAGACUGGCGGGCAGGCAGAGCGGACUAUUCAGAUGCUUGAGGAUAUAUUGCGCGCUUGUGUUCUUGACUUCAAGGGUACCUGGGAUGAUCAUUUGCCACUCGUAGAAUUUGCCUACAACAACAGNNNNNNNNNNNNNNNNNNNNNNNNNNNNNNNNNNNNNNNNNNNNNNNNNNNNNNNNNNNNNNNNNNNNNNNNNNNNNNNNNNNNNNNNNNNNNNNNNNNNNNNNNNNNNNNNNNNNNNNNNNNNNNNNNNNAGGUCUCCCAUUGGGUGGGGAUAAUUUUGGUAUGGUUGGACUCCUAACGGAAUAGGUGUUUGGAAUUUGUGAGUUUGGUCGGGUUCUAAGGUUGUCACGACCCCAAUUUCCCCACCUUAGGAUCUCGUGAUGGAACCUAGUCUCUAAGACUAGGUAAGCCUAACAUUCAUUGAUAGCUUAGCAAGAUUUAACAACUAAGAUAAUAAGAUAAUUCGUUAAAACUCAUAAUAACUCAAAACGGAACAUCUAUAACAUAAUUCCCAAAACCGAUGGAACUGAGUCAUAAGCCUUACGAAAUAAUCUAAGAAUCUCUAAUACAACAUUGUCUCAAUAGAAGAUAAAUAGUAGUAAAAGUAAUGACUGAAGGUGACUCCGAGGCCUGCAAACGCCAAGCAGGUAUACCUUGAAGUCUCCGAAAUGUAUGGUCAAAUCACUAAUGCCUAGCCCGAGCUGAGUACACCACAAUGGUACUCAGUAUGUAUCAAACCUAACCUCGAUAUAUUAGUGAUGAGUUCAGGUCAAGACACCUACUUGGAUAAGAGAAACUGAACAAGGUAUAGUAUAGGCAAAUAAUGGAAGACGAGGAAAUAAAUGACUAUAAAGCAGUUCAAUAAAGUAAGCUAACAAUGGAAUUUAAAACAAUAAAGGCAACAAGGAGUGAACACAUGGUAAGAACAUCAAGAAUCAAUACGGACGAGUACAAGUAGGGAAAAUAAAGAGAUAACAAAACUGUUCAACCAACACGCCUCUUUAACAUAGAAUGUACAAUAAGAAUCACAACUGAGGUACCGCCUCAUAUCCACUUUUCACAAUUCAAAAUCACAACAUUUCCUUAUACCGCCGCGUGAGCCUUACAUUAAGAUAUUUUGAAAAGAUUUUUUCCGAAAUAGCUACACGCACUUUAGCCCUUUUAUGUCGCCGGGUGACUUCAAGUAAUUUCCUUACUAGCAACUUGCACAUAAAUUCCCUCCUUAUGUCGCGCACGCACAUUAACCCCUAUCCUUAUACCGCCGCAUGCGCAUCAAUAUCACAACACAAUAACAACUCACACCACAAGUGCCCAUAUGCCACAACUUGCCAAAAUCAACAAUACCAAAGUUACCACAACGUAUAGCCCAGGGCUCAAUCACAAUGUGAACAAGAAUCUCCAUAAUAACAAAGUGAGUGAGAAUUUCUCAACAAGGAAAGACAUCUCAAUAAUCAACAACUUCAAACAAGAAUAACCCGGCACUAAAGGAGGUGACAUAACAAUAAGAGAGAUAGCAAAGGCAACUAAGGCAUAUAAGAGCAUGUUUGACAAUAAGAGAUAGAGUAGGUGAUACAACAUCAAGUAAAGCAUGUAAGAAAAAUUUAACAAUGGAAGAUCUAACAUGAUAUUUCAACUUCUAAUUAGAUACAUCAAAGAGUCUAAGAGUCUAAACCGGUCAAAAUACCCCAUAUAAGCCUGUGUACAUACUUGUCACCUCGUGCACACGUCUUUCACAUAACCCAAAUAACGUAAAUCAACCCAAGUCCUAAGGAGUAGUUCGCCCACAAAAAGUUAGGCAAGAUACUUACCUCAAACAAGCUAAAUCAACCCACUAGUAAGCCUUUUUCGUGCAAAUUCAACUUCGGAUGGCUCGAAUCUAGCCAAAAUAACUUAAUACCAUAAAUACAAACUAUAGAAAAUGAUUUCGGAUAACAAAGUUGCAAUCUUUAAAGAAAAUCAUAAGGUCAACUCAAAAGGUCAACCCCGGGCUUGCACCUCGGAACCUGACCAAACUUACAAAAUCUGAAUACCCAUUCUGAUACGAGUCCAACCAUACAAAAAUUACCCAAUUCCGACCUCAAAUCGACCUUCAAAUCCUCAAUUUAUAGUUUAAGACAGUUUUCACAAAAUCCCCAAUUUCUCCAACUCAAAUCACUAAUUAAAUGAUAAAAACAAUGAUGGAAUCAUGAAUAAUAAGCAAAUCCGAGCACAAAAAAAACACUUACCCCGAUCCAAUCCUUGAAAAUCCACUCCAAAUUCGCCCAAAACCGAGCUCUCUAACUCAAAAUAUGAAAAAUGGAAUAAACCCUCGAUUCACUCUUAUUUCUGCCCAGGCUUUCUGCACCUGCGGCAAUUCUGUCGCAUUUGCGACUCCGUAUCUGCAGAAAAUCCAUCACAGAUGCGGCUUCCACUAAAGGUCAGAAACUCCGCAUGCGCGCCCGCUCUUGUGCAACAGUCACCGCAGAUAUAAGUGCGCAGAUGUGCAACCGCAGAAGCAGGAAAAGCUCUUCCAAACAUACUAUCAAGUCCCAAAAUACUACACGAACCUACUCGAGGCCUUAAAUCACAUCAAACAAUAUCAAAUCCACGAAUCACACCCCAAUUUAAGCCUAUUGAAUUAAUUAACAUUCAACUUUUAAAACUAAUGUCGAAUCAUAUCAAACCAACUCUAAAUGAGCUCAAAUUUUGAAUGCAAGUCCCUAAUGACACAACAGAUAUAUACCAACUCCUGAAAUCACAAUCCGGACCUGAUAUCAAUAAAGUCAAUCCCUCGGUCAAACCUAUCAACCUUCAACUUUCUAUCUUUUGCCAAAAAGCACCAAUUCAACCUACGCAACUCCAAAUCAACUUCUGGACAUACACCGAAAUCCAAAAUCACCAUACAAAGCUAUCAGAACCAUCAAAAUUCCAUUCUGGAGUCGUCUACACAAAAGUCAAACUCCGAUCAACUCUUCCAACUUAAGCUUCAAACCUUGGGACUAAGUGUCCCAAUUCACUCCGAAACUCACCCGAAACCAAACCAACCACUCCGGAAAGUCACAUAGCCACAAUUGAACUAGAGGAGGCAAUAAAUAGUGGAACGGGGCUAAAAUACUCAAAAUGACCGAUCGGGUUGUUACAUUAUCCCCCUCUUAAAACAAACGUCCAUCCUCGAACGAGUAUAGAGACAUACCUGAAGUGUUAGAAGGUGAGGAUAACGGAUACAGAUAUCAUGCUUGGUCUCCCAAGUCACCUCCUCAACUGGUUGACCCCUCCAUUGAACCUUCACUGAAGCAAUGUUCUUUGACCUCAACUUUCGGACCUGUCUGUCCAAGAUGGCCACUAGCUCCUCAAAAUAAGUCAAAUCCUUGUCCAAUUGGACUGAGCUGAAAUCUAACACAUGGGAUGGCUUUCCGGAGCAUGGAAACAUGGAACACCAGGUGAACUGCCGAUAAGCUGGGUGGAAAUGCAAGCUUGUAGGCCAUCUCCCCCACUCCCUCAAGGAUCUCAAAAUGACCAAUAUACCUAGGGCUCAACUUGCCCUUCUUCCAGAAUCUCAUCACACCCUUCAUGGGUGAAACCCACAGCAAAACUCUCUCCUACCAAAAAUGCUACACCACAAACCUUCUGGUCGGCAUAACUCUUUUAUCUAGACUGUGCUUUACGAAGCUUGUCCUGAAUCAACUUGACCUUCUCCAAGGCAUCCCGAACAAGAUCAGUACCCAACAACCUAGCCUCCUCCGGCUCAAACCAACCAACUUGAGAACGACACUGCCUCCCAUAUAAGGCCUCAUAAGGAGCCGUCUGAAUACUGGAUUGUUAGUCGUUGUUGUAGGAAAACUAUACAAGCGGAAAGAAUUGAUCCCAUGAACCCCCAAAAUCAAUAACACAGGCACGUAGCAUAUCCUCUAAGAUCUGAAUGGUGCGCUCAUACUGCCCGUCCAUUUGGGGCUAAAUGUUGUACUCAACUCGAUCCGUAUGACUAACCCACGCUGCAUAGCUCUCCAAAAAUGCAAUGUGAAAUGCGUGCCUUGAUCAUAGAUAAUGGACACCGGCACACCAUGAAGACGAAAAAUCUUACAAAUAUAGAUCUGAGCCAGCUGCUCUGAAGAAUAGGUAGUCACCAACAGAAUAAAAUGUGUCGUUUGGUCAACCUAUCCACAAUAACUCACACUGUGUCAAAUUUCUUCAAGGUCAAGCCCAACAACGAAAUCCAUGGUAAUACUCUCCCACAUUCACUAGGGAAUCUCAAGUCUCUGAAGAAAUCCACUCGGCCUCUGAUGCUCGUACAUCACCUGCUGACAAUUCAAGCACCAACCCACAUACUUCACAUUAUCUUUAUUCAUUCUUCUCUAACAAUAAUGCUGCCUCAAAUCUUGAUAGAUCUUAGCGGCACUCGGAUGAAUAGAGUACCGCGAACUGUGGGCCUCCUCAAGAAUCAACUCACGCAACCCAUCCAUAUUGGGCACACAUAACCGACCCUGCAUCCUCAACACCCCAUUAUCUCUGAUAAAAACCUCCUUGGCAUUGCCAUGUUGUACCGUGUCCUUAAGGACAAGCAAAUGGGGGUCAUCAUAGUAAUUAUCUCUGAUGCGCUCAAAUAAAGAAGACCGAGAAACCACGCAAGCAAGAACCCUACUAGGCUCCAAAAUAUCUAAUCUCACAAACUGAUUGGCCAACGCCUGAAUAUCCAAUGCUAGCGACCUCUCACCAACUGAAAUAUAUGCAAGGCUACCCAUACUCUCAGCCUUUCUACUCAAGGCAUCAGCUACUAUAUUGGCCUUCCUAGGAUGGUAUAGAAUAGUGAUAUCAUAGUCUUUCAACAGCUUUAACCACCUCCGUUGCCUCAAGUUCAGGCCCUUUUGCUUAAACAAGUACUGUAGACUCCGAUGAUCUGUGAAUACCUCGCAAGACACGCCGCCUCCAAAUAUUCAAUGCGUGAACUAAAGCUGCCAACUCUAGAUCAUAAACGGGGUAGAUCUUCUCAUGGGACUUCAACUGGUGCGAAGCAUAAGCAAUCGCCCUAUACUCCUGCAUUAAGACUCACCCAAUACCAAUCCGCGAUGCAUCACAAUAAACCAUAUAUGAACCCGAUGCUGAGGGCAAAACUAGAACUAGAGCUAUGUUCAAGGAAGUCUUGAACUUCUGAAAGAUCUCCUCACACUUGUCAAACCACUGGAAUUGAGCACCCUUCUGGGUCAAUCUAGUCAAAGGUGCAGCAAUAGACGAUAGACCCUCUACAAAACAGCGAUAAUAUCCAGCCAAACUAAGGAAUCUCCGAAUCUCAGUAGCUGAAGACGGUCUAGGCCAACUCUGAACUGCCUCAAUAUUCUUCGGAUCUACCUUGAUCCCCUCGCUCGACACCACAUGACCCAAAAAUGCCACCGAAUCAAGCCAGAAUUCACACUUUGAGAACUUUGCAUACAACUUCUUCUCCCUCACAGUCUGGAGCACGAUCCUCAAAUGUUGCUCAUGAUCUUCCCGGUCGCGGGAAUACACCUAGAUGACGUCAAUGAAUACAAUAACAAAAGAGUCAAGAUAUGACUGGAAUACACUAUUCAUCAUGUGCAUAAAUACUGCUAGGGCAUUGGUCAUGUCACCCCCCGACCUCGGGGAGCGCGACUGGCACUCAACCGAGAUAACCCGGCCGAGCAAGCGUACUAGAUUGCCUUCUACCCAAAUCANNNNNNNNNNNNNNNNNNNNNNNNNNNNNNNNNNNNNNNNNNNNNNNNNNNNNNNNNNNNNNNNNNNNNNNNNNNNNNNNNNNNNNNNNNNNNNNNNNNNNNNNNNNNNNNNNNNNNNNNNNNNNNNNNNNNAUUACUAUCUUGACUUUCCCAAUACCAAUACACAACCCACACCAUGUCUACAGAUCUUCUAAUAAAUACAAAAGAGAACAAUGAUAGUGCCGGAAACAAGGCUCCGACUAUAACUCAAAACAUAAUACAUACAGAACAAAAGAUGCACGACCCCGAAAUGAAGUGGUGCUCACCAAGUCAACUGGGAAGAGAGUGUACCGCUAUCACUGGUCAAUGCCUUCCGUUGUGGAACCACCUGCAUCCAUUAAAGAUGCAGCGCCAUCGAAAAAAUGGACGUUAAUACAUAUCGAAUAGUACUAGUAUGAAAACCAAACACCUAUGCAAGGACUUGAAAAUACAACAUGAAUAUGAUGAAUCAUGGUAACAAUAAAAGGCUUAGAUAGCCGUUAAAUAUAUAGCAAGUUUAUUAAGAGCUUUCAAUAACAUUUAUAAUUUUUUUUAAGUCGGGGAUCCUCUGCAACUACCUUUACACAAAGCGGCACAGCCGCCUCACCCCAAUGUAUGCGGGUGGAGGUGCAAUCACAAUACCAUAAACUCUACACAAAGAAGCCAUGUCUCCUCACCCCAAUGUAUGCGGGUGGAGGUGUAUUCACAAUACCACAAACUCUACACAAAGAAGCCUUGCCGCCUCACCCCAAUGUAUGCGGGUGGAGGUGUAUUCAUAAUACCACAACUCUACACAAAGCGGCCCUGCCGCCUAACCCCAAUGUAUGCGGGUGGAGGUGUAUUCACAAUACCACAACUCGACACAAAGUGGCCCCACCGCCUCACCCCAAUGUAUACGGGUGGAGGUUUAUUCAUAAUGCCAUACUUCGGAUUCCCAAAACGAUAAUAGUUUGUACAACAGAGUUCCCUUUCAAAUCAACCAUUUGUCACCUUUGGCCUUAGCAUGUGUGAGUUCAUAAGGUUUCAUCAUAUGAGAAAUAAGUGUUUAAUCACAUUGAUUUCAUACAAGAUCUUCUUCCCUAAAGGGGUAUAACAUAAUUAAGUCAAAAUAGAGAAUCAUUAACACACGAGGGUUCUAACACGUUAUGCCAAUCGGGAAUCAAUUUUACUAGUUUGAAUACCCCACAUCAAUAGCGUUCCAUGUUUGAACUUCACACGAAGGAGUUUUGUAAGAACACGGGAAUUCCAAUACCAAAAAAAAAGAGUUUAGCCUUCAUACCUCGAAAGAGCUUUUCAUAGUGCCACAAUAAUGUCCCAACACUCCUAAUGAUGCCAAUCUAUCAAGGAGGAGAGAAUUAUAAGCACGAUUAGAGGAAUUCACAUGGCAAGGGCUGUUACAACUAUGACCCGACCUUUCCCUCAGCUAAUUCAAUAACAAAACCACCCAAGAUUGUUCAAAAACUUCCCCGCAGUCUCUAUUAGCUCAUAUAUGUGAUAAAACCUACCCUCAUUACCCACAAUCAACCCAAACCUGAAUUUGAAGAAUUGGGGGAAGAAAUACUUACUUUUUUGAAGCCCUAGCAAGUUCCUUUUGAUGGAAUUCCAAGGUUUGAUCAAUGUAGAGUAGUGAAAUCUAUAGUCCUCUCUUUCCUCUCUCUAGAAUAGCUCUCUCCUCUCUCUAAAAUGUUAGUUAAUCCCCUAAAAAUGAACCCUUAGGCUAGAUAAAUGAAAUGGGGGUCAGUUUAUAAAAUUGGAAAAAUGGAGCCCCAACGCAGAUCUUCGAUUGCAUAUGCGACCGCAUAACACUUCUGCGGUCCGCAAAAUGGACUGCAUAAUGGCCCUCUAGAACUGGGUGUUUCUGCUACACUCUGUGAUAGGUCUGCAGUCCGUAGACCAAUUAUGGGGUCUCAUAAUGGACCACAGAACCUCCUUUCGAAAUUUCUCAUGCUGGAUCUGCGAUUGGAUCUGCGGCGCGCAAAACGAUUCUGCGGCCGCAUAAUGGGUCGUAUAAUGGUCCUCAAAAUUGGUAAAUCUAUCUGCUUCUAUCAGUGGCCAAUCUGCAGUCCGCAAACUUGUUCUGCGGUCGUAUAGUGGACUGCAUAAUUGCCAUGUUCUGCAAACUUUUUCCUUUAACUCCUCGACGCACUGAGCAACCCCAAAAGUCAAUUCUUCAUUAACCUCAAUUGUAUCAACCAGAACAAUGAGCGACAGAUCUCCAACCACCUUCUUCAACAUGGAUACAUGGAACACAGGGUGCACUAAAGACAUCUCUGGAGGUAGUUCAAUGUUGUACGCCACCCGACCAAUCCUCUAAAUGAUUCUGUAUGGUCCAACAUAUCUCAGACUCAACUUCCCUUUCUUACCAAACCGCAUUAUGCCCUUCAUGGGGGAAACCUUCAACAAUACCCAAUCAUCCUCUUUGAACUCCAAAUACCUGCGACGCACAUCCGAAUAGGACUUUUGAUGACUUUGAGCAGUUUCUAAUCGAUCCUUAAUGAUCUUAACCUUCUCCAUAGCCUGAUGCACGAGGUCUGGUCCUAUCAAUACCGCUUCCUCAAUCUCGUGCAAUACCACUCUUUCUCACCAAGCACAUGUACAAAAAUACCAAGAAAGGUAGAAAGCAUAUAGCUAACAUCAAACUCUCGAGUCCGCCAUUUCUUCAUACUCCAAAAGCAGACGAGCAACUCUACUUCUACUUAGCAGUCCCGGAAAUCGCGGUAAGUGGAGUCCUAGAUCGAGAUGAGCAAGGUACGCAAUUUCCUAUUUACUAUGUUAGUCGAACUCUAGGUGAGGCCGAGACCCGGUACCCACACUUAGAAAAUUUGGCGCUUUCCAUAAUAAGAGCCUCUAGGAAAUUAAAACCACAUUUUCAAUGUCACCCAAUUUGUGUAGUGACCACUUAUCCUCUUCACAAUAUUUUGCAUAAGCCCGAACUCUCGGGCCGAUGGCCAAAUGGGCCAUCGAAAUCUAUGGGUACGAUAUCGAGUAUCAACCCCGAACGGCCAUCAAGUCUCAAAUCUUAGUAGACUUCAUGGCCGACUUUACGCCAGCCCUCGUACCUGAGGUCGAAAAAGAACUAUUAUUAAAAUCGGGUACAACAUCAGGGGUGUGGACCCUAUUCACAGACCGCGCUUCAAAUGUGAAGGGGUCUGGGCUAGGCAUCGUUUUGAAAUUGCCCACGGGUAAUACAAUUAGACAGUCUAUCAAAACUUCCAAGUUAACUAACAAUGAAGCCGAGUAUGAGUCCAUGAUUGCAGGUCUCGAGCUAGCUAAGAGUUUGGGAGAAGAGGUUAUCGAAGCCAAAUGUGACUCCUUACAUGUGUUAAACCAAGUCAACGGAACCUUUGAGGUUCGGGAUGAUCGAAUGCAGAGAUACCUGGAUAAAUUACAGGUGACAUUACAUCAGUUUCAAGAAUGGACCCUACAACAUGUACCUCGAGAGCAAAACAACAAAGCCAAUGCCCUUGCAAAUUUGGGGUCAUCGAUUGAAGAUGACGAAAUUAGCACGGGGACUAUCGUGCAACUUUCGAGGUCAGUGAUCGAAGAAGGCCACGCCAAAAUAAACUCCACAAGUCUGACCUGGGAUUAGAGGAAUAAAAAUAUCGAGUACCAAAAGAACGGAAAGCUUCCGUCGGAUCCUAAGGAAUCAAGGACUCUACGUAUGAAGGCCACACGAUUCACAUUGGCCGAAGAUGGAACACUAUAUAGAAGGAUGUUCGACGGACCAUUGGCAAUACGUUUGGGUCCCGAAGACACCGACUACGUCCUACGGGAAAUUAACGCGGGAACUUGCGGAAAUCAUUCUGGUGCCGAAUCAUUGGUUCACAAAAUCAUCAUAGCAGAAUAUUACUGGGCCAAUAUGGAAAAAGAUACGAAGGAAUUCGUUUGAAAGUGCGACAAGUGUCAAAGAUAUGCGCCAAUGAUCCACCAACCCGAGGAGCAACUCCAUUCGGUCCUAUCCCCAUGGCCAUUCAUGAAAUAGGGAAUGGAUAUCGUUGGCCCUCUACCAUUGGCCCCAGGUAAAGCUAAAUUCAUUUUAUUUAUGACUGAGUAUUUCUCUAAAUAGGUUGAAGCAUAGGCCUUUGACAAAGUCAGGGAAAAAGAGGUUAUCGACUUCAUUUGGGACAACAUUAUAUGUCGAUUCGGGAUACCUACCGAGAUCGUAUGCGACAAUGGAAAACAAUUCAUCGGCAGUAAAGUAACAAAGUUUCUUGAAGACCACAAAAUCAAAAGGAUCUUGUCAAUGCCAUAUCACCCCAGCGGGAACGGACAUGCAGAGUCAACGAACAAAACCAUCAUUCAAAAUCUAAAGAAAAGGUUGAAUGAUGCAAAGGGAAAAUGGAGAGAAAUGUUGCCCGAGGUCCUUUGGGUGUAUCGAACAACGUCAAAAUCCAGAAUGGGGUAAACACCGUUCUUUUUAGUAUAUGGCGCCGAAGCUCUAAUCUCGGUCGAAGUCGGGGAACCUAGCGUCAGGUUUCGAUAUGCAACGGAAAAGUCGAAUCACGAGGCUAUGAAUACAAGUCUUGAAUUGCUAGAUGAAAAACUGGAAAGCGCCCUCGUUCGAAUGGCCGCACAAAAGCAACGGAUCGAAAGGUACUACAACCGAAGAGCUAAUUUUCGACAUUUUAUAACAGGGGACUUAGUAUUGAGAAAAGUCACCCUCAAUACCCAAAUUGGGAGGGACCGUAUCAGAUCCUCGAUAUCGUCAGAAAGGGAUCUUACAAACUCGGCACGAUGAACGACGAACAGUUGUCAAAUAAUUGGAACGUGUCACUCCUCAAACGAUAUUACUGCUAAGGUACAACCUUCUCCAUUUUUAUUUAUAUUUUAUACUAACCGUUUGCAGGUGUGUAAUCGAAAACAUCAAGGGAUCCUUCAAACGCAGUCCUUGGGUCUGAAAGCACCCGUUGCACUCUUUUUCCCUUAGACCGGUUUUAAUCCCAAAUGGGUUUUUUCGGCGAAGUUUUUAACGAGGCAACCAUUGUUCGUGCUAACUUAGAGCAAUUCAACAGUAUCUGAGGCUCCUUUACAAUCAACCUCGAAUACUAGGGGGCAUCACCCUCGGAUAGUUACAAGGAAAAUACUUCGUGUCGACAGGGUCUCGAUAGCUAAAUUUUGUAGAGGACCAAACGGUAAGAUGAACCAUGUCUGUGUAGAUUACUCGAGCCCUAAUGGCAAAACAUGUACGCAUGUAUAAUUUAUUGGAAGAAGUAUUUUCCCUUUCCAGAUGCCCCAUGUUUUAAAAUUUAUAAUUUGCAAUCUCAUACUUAUGAUCUAUGGUGGAAACUGGCUUAAGGGCCGAUCACAACUGAAGUUCAAACAAUUUGUCCGAUACUCGGGGACUGCCGUCCAAAAAACCAACACGAUCGAAUUACUAAACCUCGAGAUCGUAAGACCUUAAAAAGGCAAUCCUCGAAUUUAUGGGCCACGUCCACCCCACUCGGGGACUGAUACUUCGAACAAGUUUGAAGUAUAAUAGGGGAGCAAGCCCAAAAGGCGAAUCCCAAGUUAAAGGCUAUGGCCAAAUCAACACGGUUCAGAGACGUCCGAUUUUUGUUAUUAAAUAGGCCUUUGAAUAUUUUCAUAAAUCGGUUAAAAAAGGCUACCCUUGGCUAAAUUUCUAAGGGUCUCGAUAAUAUCGACCAUCGAAAACCCUAAUGGAUACAAAGGCGUUCGAACUCUCGAAUAAAUUCUUUAUUUUAUGUUAAGGCACUGCGAAAUAAAGGGUCUCGAUAAUAUCGACCAUUGAAAUUCCUAAUGGGUACGGAACCGUUCGAACUCUCAAACAAAUCCUUUAUUUUGUGUUAAGGUACAACAGAAUUUAUAUGAUUAAACGAUAAACUUAUCAAGCCGAAAAGGGGGAGAGAGCCACUUUUUUUCUAUGGCCGUGUUGGCCUAGUUUAAGAGCCUAAAAGGCCAGUUUAUUUUUGAGUUUGAAGAAAUCAUCCUCACUCAAUUAAAACCUAAGGGUCACCCUAUUCCGAGUUCGAGCAAGUACUCACUCGAUUAUAAAAACUACACUAGUCUGGUUUCGAUCAAAAUGCCUAAGCCUCAAACUUAUGAACAAAACUUUCACAAGGCAUAAAAGAAAUAAAGACAAGUCAGAAAGGAAAGAGAUAAUUAUAUAUAUAUGAAUAUUUACAAGGUCCGAUCGGGAUCCUAUACAAAAAAGAUCAAAAGUGAAAAAUCUUAAGGUUCCUGAUCUCCUCCGGGGGCAGCUUCUUCUACAUCGAGGUCCUCCCCAUUCUCGGACCCGCUCUUGCUACCAUCAUCAUCAUCGUCAUCGGAAGUGGCCAGCAAUCCAGCUUCGGCUUCAUGCUCUCUACCUUUGCUAUCUCAUUGGUAAGAUCGAAAUCCCGAGCGUGAAUUUCCUCGAGGGUUUCCUCCGAGAUUGGCAUUUGGUGAGUUCAGCAAUCCAAUAUGCUCGAGUUUGUGCGGACUCGGAUGCCUCUCUCGCCUGGACUUGAGCGACUUCAGUAUCCGCCCGAUAGACGACCACGAUCGCAUCCGCCUUGGCUUUUGCUUUUUCGGCUUCAGAUUUGGCCUUGGCAAGUUUAGAAGCCAACCGAGCCUCGAGCUCCUCUAUUUUCCUGGCUUGAGUCAAGCUCCUAUCUUUCAUGCCUUGAAGUUGACUUUCGACCUAUGAUAAUUGGGCUCGAUUAGUCUCUUUUUCUGCAGCAAAGUGGUCCAUACCUUUCUUCCACCCCAAGGACUCUGCCUUUAUUGUGUCGACCUCCUCACAGAACUGCUCGAUCCUCUCGAUUUUCUGUUGCAUCUGUGAGAUUCAAAAUAUUAGCCACCGUUCCCGAGUCGAGCCCAUGAGCUUUUAAGCUUUUCAUUACCUGCUCGAUCAGAUCUAUCUGAUCUUGGUGAGCCUUGGCCAACUCGGCUUGAAGAUCUCUGAUCUCUUCCUCUUUCUGACCACUAAGAAGUUUGAGGGCAUUUCUCUCAUCCGAAAGCCCUCGGAAGUCAGCUUCACAUCGGCUCAGCUCCGCUCGAGACUUGGAAAAUGCCUCCUGAUGUAGAGCUAAAGCCUAUAUAAAAAGAGAAAAAGUUAGGCAGAAAAUGGAAGAAUAUGACAUCAACAAAGGGAAUCAAGACUUACCCGAUUCAGGGCUCGUUGAGCCUCGAAGAAAUGACCCGAUGCGUCACUCGGGCCGGCAGCAUCCUCGAUACUUGUAAAUAAAUCACGGAAGGGGUCCUCUCCCUCAUGAGCUCCAUCCACCUCGAGGGUCCCCAAAUAUCGGGCUUCCCGAAUCGCCCUUUCUGAAAAAACAAGGAGAGUGGGUGAGUCUCCGAUUACUAUUACCCCAAGGGAGUCACUUGGGGCGUUCUCCUCAGUUCGAAGAGCUUCAGGGUCGGUCCCUUCAGAUAUACCCAUUGUUUUUCAUUUCAGUGGGAGACAUCCUCGAUCUCCAAUGUCUCAGGGACUUUUCCCGAGUCCUUCUCGGAUAUCCCCUUAGUUCGAGGCGGAGCCUCAUCAAUCACUAUAGAUCCAGUUGUCUUUGGGGCAUCGAUGGUUUUCUUUACUCGAGCCACCAGUAUGGAGUUGUCGUCAUUUUCUUCUUCUUCGUCUUCAUCCCUCAGACGCCGAAUAGAUUCUUUCGUCAGAGGGAUGGUGUUCUUCCUCGGCUUACGAGCCGUCUUUGUCUUAAGUUCUGGAUCUUCGGAAGCCGAGGCCCUUUUUCUCUUGUUGUCUUUUGCUAGUUUCGGAACCGGGGCCGAGGUCUCUUCCUCGCCAGAUGGCGGCCUCAUGACCGCAUCUUUGUCCAGGCCUACACACAGGAAAAUUGGUUAAGUUUAAGAAAGACAUUUUGAUCGAAUCAUCAAGAACAUAGGAAAGGGGCUUACCAUGAGUUUUGGCCUCCCAUCGGUCCUUUGAUAAAUCGUGCGUUGAGCUCUCAGCGUACGAAGAGGUCGAGGCCAGGUCCCGAACUCAGCUCUUGAGGUUAGGAAUUGCACCGGGCAUCCAAGAAACCACUACAUCACGGAAAAGGAUAUCGAUGAGAAGAAGCAAAGGGCCAAAACAAUAAAUAAGAAUUAACAGUGGAAUUAUACUUACGCUUCAUAUUCCAUUUCUCUGGAAAUGGCAUCUUCUCGGCCGGGAUUACGUUGGAAGUCCUCAUUCGAACAAACCGGCCCAUCCGGCCUCGGUCCUUGUCCUCAUCUAUGCUCGAGAAUAGCACUUUGGUGGCCCGUGACUUUUGCUCACAAAGAACAGAGCAGAAUAACAAUUCUCCAAAAAGAAGGGUGGAUUUGGCCUAGAGUUAUGUGGUACUGACGACAAAAAUCGAUGACGACGGGGUCGAGGGGGCCCAGCAUGAAAGGGUAGGUAUAAACACUUAAAAACCCUUCCACAUGGGUGGUAAUGUCUUCUUCCGGGGUCGGUAUCACCACUUCUUUGCCUUUCCAGUUGCAGUUUUUCCUUAACUGCUUAAGGUACCCUUCAGUUAUCGAGCAUAUGUACUUCGUCAUUGGCUCGCAUCGACCAGGAAUCGAUGAGGCUUUAUCAGUUUUGAAGUCAGAAGUAAUAACACACCCCCCGGGAACACACUCUUUAUGUCGUGGCUCCACCGUUGUUUUGUUGCCGGCCGGCCACGAUGAAGAAGCAUUUUCCUUUUGAGGAACAGUCUUUGAUGUUUUUGCCAUUUUUGUAUGGAUUUGAAGUUAAAAAUAGAUGAAGAUGAUAAUUUGGUGUUUUGAGAAGAUGGUAGCAGUGAAAAUCGUAGAUGUGCAUAUGAAGAGGUUAGAAGAUAUAAAAAGCUUUGAAGAUUAAGAAUCUAAAAGUAAAUGUUCGAAAUAGUGGAGAGAGGGGCUAUUUAUAAAUUUCACAACGACGGUUCAAUAUUGGCGGUGGCCGACCACUGACUGACGUUUAUUUAAUGCCUAGGAAACUAUAUAGACGGGACGUUUCAGUCACUUCUGUCGCUUAUGUCAUAAGGAUGACGUCCCGAUAGGUCGGGGUAGAAAAUCGAAGGCUCAAUUCAUUUCUUGUCAUUACACUCCAAAAUAACGAGGGGACUAUCUGUUCACGCUUAAAACCGAGCCCACCCAAUUUUACUGUUUGACCGAGACCGGGAGUUUGCAUCGAAGGACGACUCCAAAGUAGAUCGGAUCGAGGCAAGAAUACAAGGUACCAAGAUCGGGAUUCGAGGCACCUUCCAAGAUCGAGCCUACAACAAUCAAGACCGAACGAGAUAAGCGAGAUAUCCGUGACUGGUCGAAGAUCAUGGCAAAAAUCUCGGAACAGAUCAAAUCAAAAAUGGUUGUUUAGUUAAUCAUGGGAUUUACUUCUGUAAUUAGAAUUGUACCAUAUAUAGAAUUCCUCUACUAUAUAAAGGGGAGUUCUAACCAUUUGUAGGCACAACUGAUAACAAAGCAAUAUAAUUUUCUUCCUCGCUCACACUCUUGUUCUUCAAUCGGUAUUAAGUGAAAUCACGUGUCCUUAAAUCCACAUUAUAAGUUUAAUUGUUAUCCAAUUUCGAGGGUAAACAGAUCUUUAUCAUUGUUAGUUGGCCAAUUUGAUGAAGUUAACAACAUAAUUGAAUAUGCAAAGUAAGUGUUCACCAGAAGAGAACAUGUAAGCAUCAAAUGUGCGAAGGAGUUUUUAUUAAUUUAAAGUGUUGUUUCAAAGGGAACACCAAGUAAAAAUCAUGGUACAACUUUUGGCAAAAUGAGAUAUUUCAAUUGAAUGAAAGUAAAAUCCCUUAAAAUAUAAUUUAAGGAGGCAUGGAUAAAUAAAUCCACAAAAUCGUUUACAAGAAGAAAGGCGCAAAUUCUUCCCUUGUUGAUACUUCAAGCCUUGUCAUUAUAUUGACACUCUGACAAGUCUUGAAGUAGGGGCAUUUGUAGACAUGUAAAAUUUAUUUUAUUCAAAUUAAAUAAAUAAUUUAGUUUAUAUUUAACAUAUACUAGUCCAAAUAAAUUAUAGGCUAAUAUAAUUAGAUUAAUUAUUUAAAUCCAAUAAAUAUUGACUUGGAUAGCCCAUUUGAUUGGGCUACAAGUGAUGAGCCCAUUUAAUUGGGCUACAAGAGAUGAGCCCACUUAAUUAGGCCCAAGAUGUCAGCUUCCUAAAGGCCCAAUUUGAUGCCAUGUGUCAAAUGAAUGUGACACGCCAAGUCAAAUAGAAAAGCCAAUAGGAUCUUGCCACGUGUCAAAAUGAUAAGGCAUGCCAAAUUAAAUUAUAAGGCCAAUGAAACCGUGCCACAGAUGCAAGUGUAAUGACCCGGCCAGUUGUUUUGAGUAUUUUAGCCUUGAUCCCCUAUUUAUUGCCUCCUCUAUGUUGUAUUAUGGUUAUGUGACUUUUCGGGGGUGUUUGAUUUAGGUUUGGGGGAGUUACGGAGUGAAAUGGGACACAUAGUCCCUAAGUCAGUGCUUAAGUUGAAAGAGUUGACCGUAGUUUUACUUUUGUGUAGAUGACUCCAGAAUGGAGUUUUAAUGGUUCCAAUAGCUGCAUAUGGUGAUUUUGGACUUAGGAACAUGUCGAAAUAUUGAUUUGGAGGUCCGUAGGUCAUUUCGUCUUGAAUUGGCAAAAAUUAGAAAAUUCAAGGUUUGGAAGGUUAAGAAGUUUGACCGAGAGUUGAUUUCAUUGAUAUCAAGGUCAAAUUCUGAUUCCAAAAGUUGUAAUAGGUAUGUCAUGUCAUUUAUGACUUGUGUGCAAAAUUUGAGGUCGAUCGGAGUUAUUUUGGUAUGAACCGACAUUAGUUUUGGAAUUCAGAUGUUCAUAGUCUCAAUAGGCGUGAAUUGGGUUGCGAUUCAUUGAAUUGAUGUUGUUUGAUGUGAUUUUUUGCCUCGAAUAGCUCCAUUAUGUGUACUAGAACUUGUUGGUAUAUUCGAUGGGGGUCCCGGGAGCCCCGGGUGUGAUUCAGAUUGAAUCCGGAACAAAUAUUGACUUGUGUGAUUACUAAAGCAUGGUUGUGUCUGGUGCAUUCAUACCUGCGCACUUUGGGCCGAAGGUAUGACACCGUAGAAGCGGCUCUCGUAGCGCAGAAGCGAGAUUUGGCUUGUCAGCUGUGACCACAUGUUGUGUCGUUAAUUCGCAUAAGCGGACCCGCUGCUUCGGGGAAUGCAUCGCCGAAGCGGAAUGGGCUAGCCAGCCCUAGGGUCGCAAAAUUGGACCCUCCGCAGGUGCGCUUAGGGGUCCGUAGGUGCAAGUCUUCAGAGAUUAAGGUGGAACCGCACCUACGAUGGAUUUUCCGUAGGUGCAGCGUCGCAGGUGCGACCUCAUGCCCGGAGACGUGAGGAUCACUGGGCAGAAAAGGGGCCUUCGAUGGUUUGAUCUCAUUUUCCAUUUUUGGACUUAGAGAGCUCGGUUUGUGGUGAUAUUUUGAGAGCUUUUCCAGGAAAUCAUCGGGGUAAGAGAUUCUAACUUGGUUUAGGCUAUAUUACACGAAUUCAUUGUUAUUUUUGUCAUUUAAUUAGUGAUUUGAGUUGGAAAUUUGGGAAAACAUUGUGAAAACUUCUUAGACUAAAUUUUGGGAAUAUGAAAAGCGAUUUGAAGUCGGAUUUAAGUAAUUCUUAUGUGGUUGGACUCGUUAUCGAAUGGGUAUUCGGAUUUUGUAAUUUUGGCCAGGUUCCGAGACGCGGGUCCAGGGUUGACUUUUUGACUUGACUCUUUGUUUCUCUUUAAUGAUCGUAACUUUAUUGAUCGGAAUAGUUUCCUAUAGUUUAUAUUUAUGGUAUGAAGUUGUUUUGGCUAGAUUCGAGUCGUUCGGAGUUGGAUAAUCGAGGGAAAGACUUACUAGUGGAUGUAGUAGCAUAUGUUGUGGUAAGUGUCUUACCUAACUUUGUGUGGGUAAAUUACCCCUUAGGAUUGGUGUUGUUUUGUGUUAAUUGUGAUAUGUGAAAGCCGUGUACGCAAGGUGACGAGUGUGUACACGGGCUAAAUGUGGUAAUUUAUCGGUUCUAGCUAUGUAGAUUCUCUUCAUGCCUUUAAUUAAGUUACCAUAAUAUGUUAUAUUCAUCAUCUUUAGUCUAUCUUCACAUACUUUACUUGUCUUACCUCUUACUUGUUAAUUGCCUUUACAUGCCUAGUUGAAAUUAUUGUUUCCUCUAUUCCUUAUUCAUUAUUUAAUCAUUGAGUUCCUUACUUGAAGUUGUUAAUUCUUGGAAUUUCUUGUUGUUGAAAUUGGUAUUGGGCUAUAAAGGCCGUGAUUCACAUUGAGGCAAAGUUGUUAAGUUGUGAAAUAAUAUUCUUGUUGAGUUAUUCAUUUCCGAUUGUUAUUGUUGAGACUUUUGUGCAUAUUGUGGUUGAGCCCUGGGCUCUUUAAUGUGGAAACACCAUUGUUGUUGACUUCUUUGGCAAGUUGUGAUAUUGGGCACUUGAGGUGCGAUUUGUCAUACAUUGUGAUAUUGAUACGCAUGCGGCGGUAUAACGUUUGGGGUUGAAACGCAUGCGGUGAGAUAAGGUGGGCUUGAUACGCGUGUUGCUAGUAGGGGAAGUACUUGAAGCCACGCGGUAUGAUAAGGUGGGCUAAUACGCGGGAAGCUAUUUCGGGAAAAUGAUUUUCAAAACUAAAUGCAAGUCUCCCACGGUGAUAUAUGGAUAGAUUGUGAAUUGUUUUGUAAAAUGUGACUACGAGGUGGUACCUCAAUAGUGAUUUUUGUUGAUACUUUUCUAUUACUUCACUUGUGUUUUGGUUGCUUUGUUUACUUGGCAUAUCAUUCUUUGUUUUCUUCCGUGAUGCAUUAUUUGCCUUAGUUCAGUGUAACUAAUCUUGGUAUAUUUCUUUAUUGCUUCAUUUCCAUUGUUAUCAUUAUUACACUAUUAUAUAUACCUGUUCAGUUUCUUAUUUAUUCCAGUGGGGCCUUGAUCUGACCUCGUCACUACUCUACCGAGGUUAGGCUUGGCACUUAUUAGGUACCAUUGUUGUGUACUCAUUCUAUGCUUCUACACAUCAUUUUUUUGCAGAUACAGGUACUUCCUACUAGCCCAGGCACAAGUCAGACAAGCUCAGCUUCGGAGAGUCCGCAGGCCUCAGAGUCACCCUCUAUCUAGUUUACUUCAUUUUCUUUCCCUUUCAUAGACACUGUUGUAUAGGGAUGAUCAGUAUUUAUUCGUAGAGCUUGUGACUUGUUAUCACCAGAUUUUGGGAAGUUUUGUUAUGCUGAGUUGAGAAGUUUCUUUUAUGAUAGUUGUUGAGAAUUUGAGAGAGUUUUAUCAAUAUUUCUGUCAUAUUCUACAUGUAUGUUAGGCUUACCUAGUCUUGGAGACUAGGUGCCAUCAUGAAAUCCAACUGAGGGAAAUUGGGGUCGUGACAAGUUGGUAUCAGAGCCCUAGGUUCAUAGGUGUUAUGAGUCACAAGCAGGUUUAG
This 28196-nucleotide long non-coding RNA is filed under the name Nicotiana tabacum (common tobacco). RNAcentral's name for it is "long non-coding RNA (NTAB_LNC002877)". Lineage: Eukaryota; Viridiplantae; Streptophyta; Magnoliopsida; Solanales; Solanaceae. The record is from RNAcentral.